AACGUUAAUUGAGGAUCUUCAGUUCUGGAUCUAGACUCAAUGCAUCAAGCUCAGACCCAACAUAUAGAUCAGGUGUCUGCAACAGGUGGGAUGAAUCACACACCAGAGUCUGGGUCCAGUGGGAAGAUGACAAGGUAAAACGUCACCUCUUCAGGGGAAGAAAGAAGGUAUGGUGCUGGCUCCUUUUUCCAGUCUCUGCAGUAGGUAUUAGCAG
Long non-coding RNA from Cygnus atratus (black swan), 214 nucleotides. RefSeq lists it as uncharacterized. The record is from RefSeq and is a predicted model, not a curated record. Lineage: Eukaryota; Metazoa; Chordata; Aves; Anseriformes; Anatidae. The transcript is spliced from 3 exons.